UACGAAGGGUGCAAGCGUUACUCGGAAUUACUGGGCGUAAAGCGUGCGUAGGUGGUUUUUUAAGUCCGUUGUGAAAGCCCGUGGCUCAACUACGGGUCGGCCACCGAUACUGCUAUGGCUCGAGUUUGGUAGAGGCAGAUGGAAUUCCGGGUGUAGCGGUGGAAUGCGUAGAGAUCCGGAAGAACACCGGUGGCGAAGGCGGUCUGCUGGGCCAAGACUGACGCUGAGGCGCGACAGCGUGGGGAGCAAACAGG
This 254-nucleotide ribosomal RNA is filed under the name uncultured bacterium. RNAcentral describes it as "partial 16S ribosomal RNA". It matches the Rfam family "Bacterial small subunit ribosomal RNA", at positions 524 to 776 of the family's 1533-position model. The record is from RNAcentral.